AUCCACCUAAUUAGCUAUUUUCAUGGUUGACGAAAUCCUACGUAGUUGUGUGUUGGUGUAAAUGUAUCACAUAAAAAGGAUUGUAAAUGAGGCCGUUAACUUUUGACAAUACCUCUUGAACAUUACUGAAAUAUUUCCUUGCAUAGUGCAGGUGUAUUUAUGCUGCAAUCAGCUAUAUUGGUGUUGCUUCCCUCAGGAUGUUGCUAUCUCUACAAUAGCCGGAGAAGACGAAACAAGUUUUGCAAUGCACACGGACUGGCUCAGUUGUGAAUGUCACAAAUGCUCCCCUAACGAGGAUCAAAUCAAUGAAAGGAUGGCCUUGAUAAAUAAUAUUCAUGAGGCGAAGAGGAAGUACCCAUACAUGAUGAGCUUUGAGAGGUGACUUUGCAAGACUGACUAAGAUUGACCCAUCACCUUGUAUUGCAAAAGGGAUCAACAAAAUUGUGAAAAUGGCAGAAAUGAAACACAUCCCUUGCGAAGCAAGUGUAAUGGCAUCACUUCAAAAGGCUCGUGAGAUGUCACCGGAGAGGCUGCGAACACGACGACCCGAGCGUUCCUGCAACCUCUUGCAUCGUAUUUUCUGGAGAAGACGUUGAAGAGGCUGACCUCCACAUCAAGGUGGACCGCGAGAUGUUUGCAGUGAAAAAUGGGGAGGAGGGGCUGGCGGCUGUUUUAUCUGCUUACUGGCUCUUCAAUAUCCAGUACGACCGCAAGCUGUUCAACACUCUUCUCGUGUUGGAGCGCCUUUUCCUUGGGCUCACAUUGAGUACCCCUAGAGUAGUGGCUACAAAGUUCUUGAACAAUGUUGCCAAAUGUGUGCCAUGUUUAAUGUGCUGAAGCUGUGCACUGUUACCUCAUCAUGAGUUUAGCUGUAAUUUUCAGAUGCAAGUUUUGUUUUGUCUAACCAUUUCUGCAAUACAUAUGAAGGAAGCCAACAGUCACCGAUAACAAGGCAAGCUUAUGGCAACGCUAUUCGUUUUUUUUUAUUUGCAGUGUUAGUAGUUGGAAAUUAUUAGUGUAAUUAUUUUCAGAUGUGGUUAGUUAGGAUCCCACUGGCAGCAUGUGGUUUUCUGCUUUCUGAUCAUUUACCUGUCAGCCAUAAAAUGAUUACACUAACAAUUUUCUAUUGUCAGCACCACAAAUUGUUAAAACUUAGAAGCAUUCUCCAUGUGGGGCGUUCCUUGGUCUCGGUCACUGUUGGCAUUUUUCAUAUGCAUUACAGAAAGGGUUAAACUAUUCAACACUUUCUUAUCUAAAUGUUACAGGUAAACUGUCUUUUGUAUUACAUCAUUAGCUCUUUUUAACUUUCAAUAACUAAGCAAGAUUCUAGU
This is a long non-coding RNA of Dermacentor silvarum, 1331 nucleotides long. RefSeq lists it as uncharacterized. NCBI's taxonomy places the organism in Eukaryota, Metazoa, Arthropoda, Arachnida, Ixodida, Ixodidae. The record is from RefSeq and is a predicted model, not a curated record. The transcript has 3 exons.